GUAUAGGAGAUAGAACUUUCUUUUGGCGCUAUAGAGGUAGUACCGCAAGGGAAAGAUGAAAGAUAAAAUUAACAGUAAAAAAAAGCAUAGAUCACCCCUAUUACCUUUUGUAUAAUGAGUUAACUAGAAUAAAUUUGGCAAAGAGGACUGAAGCCAACCACCCCGAAACCAAACGAGCUACUUUUAAACAGCUAACAGAGCAAACUCGUCUAUGUAGCAAAAUAGUGAGAAGAUUUAGAAGUAGAGGUGAAAAGCCAAUCGAGCUUGGUGAUAGCUGGUUAUCCAAAUAAGAAUAUCAGUUCAGCUUUAAGUUUUCCAAAAAUAUAACCAAAUCAAAUGAAAACUUAAAACUUAAUCUAAAGAGGGACAGCUCUUUAAAAUAAGGAAACAACCUCUAACAGUGGGUAAAAAAUAAAAGCUCCAUAGUUGGCCUAAGAGCAGCCAUCAAUUAAGAAAGCGUUCAAGCUCGACAACCCAUAAAAUU
Molecule: non-coding RNA, 484 nt
Filed under: Cavia porcellus (domestic guinea pig)
Lineage: Eukaryota; Metazoa; Chordata; Mammalia; Rodentia; Caviidae
Description: Bacterial large subunit ribosomal RNA
Rfam family: Bacterial large subunit ribosomal RNA
Source: Rfam by way of RNAcentral